Molecule: transfer RNA, 77 nt
Filed under: Gammaproteobacteria bacterium
Lineage: Bacteria; Pseudomonadati; Pseudomonadota; Gammaproteobacteria
Description: tRNA-Val
Rfam family: tRNA
About the family: Transfer RNA (tRNA) molecules are approximately 80 nucleotides in length. Their secondary structure includes four short double-helical elements and three loops (D, anti-codon, and T loops).
Source: RNAcentral
AGUCGCGUAGCUCAGUUGGUUAGAGCACUACCUUGACAUGGUAGGGGUCGGUGGUUCGAAUCCACUCGCGACUACCA